AACCAGAAGGCGUAAAUGAAAGUAAAGGCACGGUCGCCGUGCUGAGGUGAGAGCCGUCCCCGACGGGAUGGCACAUCAUCGACCGAUCCCAUCCGUGCUGUCCGCAGCGUGGCGGGAUUGAGUGAGAGUGUACCUGUUGCGACCCGAAAGAUGGUGAACUAUGCCUGAAUAGGGUGAAGCCAGAGGAAACUCUGGUGGAGGCCCGUAGCGAUUCUGACGUGCAAAUCGAUCGUCAAAUUUGGGUAUAGGGGCGAAAGACUAAUCGAACCAUCUAGUAGCUGGUUCCCUCCGAAGUUUCCUUCAGGAUAGCUGUAGCCCGAAGCAGUUUUAUCAGGUAAAGCGAAUGAUUAGAGGUAUCGGGGAAGAAACUUCCUCGACCUAUUCUCAAACUUUAAAUAGGUAAGAAGUCCGACUUGCUCAAUCUGAAGCCGGACACA
This 437-nucleotide ribosomal RNA is filed under the name Demospongiae sp. G314439. RNAcentral's name for it is "eukaryotic LSU rRNA". It matches the Rfam family "Eukaryotic large subunit ribosomal RNA", at positions 705 to 1109 of the family's 3401-position model. The record is from RNAcentral. Lineage: Eukaryota; Metazoa; Porifera; Demospongiae.